Molecule: long non-coding RNA, 500 nt
Filed under: Sus scrofa (pig)
Lineage: Eukaryota; Metazoa; Chordata; Mammalia; Artiodactyla; Suidae
Description: lncRNA (ENSSSCG00070009512.1)
Source: RNAcentral
AUGUUCCUCUUGGAUGUCCUAUAUGGAACUCUGCGCUUCCUUAAUUUGAGUGUUUCCCCUUCCAUAUUAGGUAUGUUUUCAGCUAUAAUCUCUUCCAAUGUUCUCUCAGGCCCUUUAUCUCUCUCUCCUCCUUCUAAGAACCUUAUAGGGGUACAUUUCACGUUGUCCUCAUUUCAUUCAUUUUUCUUUAUUAUUUUCUGCAGCAGUAUUUCUCCUAUUCUGCCUUCUCUCUCUCUCUCUUUUUUUUUUUUUUUUUUUGUCUUUUUAGGGCUGUACCCGCAUCAUAUGGAAGUUACCAGGUUAGGAGUCGAAUCAGAGCUGCAGCUGCCAGCCUAUACCACAGCCACAGCAACGCAGGAUCCAAACCGCAUCUGUGACCUGCACCACAGCUCAUGGCAACACCUGAUCCUUAACCCACUAAGCGAGGCCAGGGAUUGAACCCAUGUCCUCAUGGAUAUUAGUCAGGUUCGUUACUGCUGAGCCAUGAUGGGAACUCCUAG